This is a non-coding RNA of Desmophyllum pertusum, 72 nucleotides long. The record is from the annotation of a GenBank genome assembly. Lineage: Eukaryota; Metazoa; Cnidaria; Anthozoa; Scleractinia; Caryophylliidae.
GGCUUAGUGGCCUAAUGGUUAGUGUGUUGGACUCCAGAUCAAGUGGUCCAGGUUCAAGCCUGUCCAGGAUCA